GUGUCAGCAGCCGCGGUAAUACGUAGGGUGCGAGCGUUGUCCGGAAUUAUUGGGCGUAAAGGGCUCGUAGGCGGUUUGUCGCGUCGGGAGUGAAAACUCAGGGCUUAACCCUGAGCCUGCUUCCGAUACGGGCAGACUAGAGGUAUGCAGGGGAGAACGGAAUUCCUGGUGUAGCGGUGAAAUGCGCAGAUAUCAGGAGGAACACCGGUGGCGAAGGCGGUUCUCUGGGCAUUACCUGACGCUGAGGAGCGAAAGUGUGGGGAGCGAACAGGAUUAGAUACCCUGGUAGUCC
RNAcentral lists this ribosomal RNA (292 nucleotides) under uncultured bacterium. Its description in RNAcentral is "partial 16S ribosomal RNA". It matches the Rfam family "Bacterial small subunit ribosomal RNA", at positions 505 to 796 of the family's 1533-position model. The record is from RNAcentral.